AACGAUGAAAGGUCCACAUCCAAAGUUGGCCCUGCAUGAUGGAUGAUCCACAUUGAGGUGUGGCCCACAUGGAAGGUCCAUGUCAAAGGUGGGCUCCACACGAGGGGCGGUGGAUAUUGAAGGUAGCUGGACAAUAACAUUGAAGGUGCGCUCCUCAUGGUGGAUGACCCACAUUGAGGUGGGGCCUGCAUGAUGGAUGGUCCGUGUCAAAGGUGGACUCCACACGAUGUGCAAGGUUAGCCUUAUUUGGGCAUUAUUUUGAUGUUGGGUCCCACAUGAUGGGCAAGGUUGGCCAUAAAUGGACGUUAUUUUGAUGGUGGGCCCCACAUGAUGGAUAAUCAAUAUCAGGGUGGGCCUCACAUAAUGGAAAGUCUACAUCAAAGGUCAGCCCAUAACGGUGGACGGCCCCAUGUAUUGCCCUCGUAAUGGACGGUGGGCUCCACAUGAUGGGUGGUGUACAUUGAAGGUGGGCUUAGGACAAUUUAUUUUGGAGGUGGGCGCCUCGAUAGACAAUUCACAUGAUGGAUAACUAACAUCAAGGUGGGCUCAUAAUGGCGGACGGCCCCAUGUAUUGCCCUCAUAAUGGACGGCCCACAUUGAAGGUGUGGUCUGCACAAUGGAUUGUCUCUAUCAAGGGUGGGCUCCACAUGAUGGGUGGUGUACAUUGAAGGUGGACUUAGGACAAUUUAUUUUGGAGGUGGGCUCCACGAUAGACAAUUCACAUGAUGGAUGACCAACAUCAAGGUCCAUCCCAGAAUGUGCAGUCCACAUCAAAGGUGCUACGAUGAGUGGCCUACAUUCAAGGUGGGCCUUAUAUGAUGGAUGUCCUACAUUGAAGAUGGGGUGUAUAUGAUGGAUGGUCCACAUCAAGGGUGGACUCUGAUGGAUAUUAAAGGUGAGCCCUACAUGAUCAAUAAUAAUAUUGAUGGUGGGCCUACAUGAUAGCUGGCCCAUAUCAAGGUGGCCCCACAUGAGAACAGUUCAUGUUGAAGGUUGGCCCCAAAUGACCCACAACCAAAGGCAAGGCAGGCUGAGCUUGAUGAAAAGCCACUUUGAAAUUGGGUCCUGCAUGAUGCACAAUCCACUUUAAAGGUGGGCCUGCAUGAUGGUUGGCCACAUCUAAGGUAGUCCCUGCAUGUUGGAUAGCCUACAUCGAAGAUGGGUGGAUGUCGACAUUGAAGGUAGGUCCCGCACAAGGAAAGCUCACAUUGAAGGCAAUUCCAAGCUAGGCGCAACAUGAUGCAUGAUCCAUGUGGAAGGUUGUGUCCAAGAUAAGAUACUUGAGGCAUAAGUAGCUUAGUUAAAUUAACAUAUGAUCCAAGUGCUUUUUGAAAAUUGCUUUUCCACCUAUUGAUCUCAUUGUUUUUUCCCUCUUAAUAUAUUUAAAAUAUCCCCCGUCUGAACUCUCUCCUUCAUUUUUUUUGCGAGUUUGAAGAUCUCUUUCUCACAUUCUUUUGUCAUCAAUGUAUACAAAUCAUUAUGAACUUAAAGUUUAGCUCCACUUUUUUGUUAGCAUUUUAUUUUGCAUUUCUAAGCUAUUCUAAAAUUCAUCGUUUUUAGUUCUUAGUCAAGCUUUAAAACAUGAACAUUUUUCGUUAAUAACUUUUAUCUAUGUUGUCAUCUGAUUACAAAUAACAUAGGCCGUGAACAGAAUUAUAGCAUUCAUUUCCUACGAGCUUUUAAGAAUUGGGUCAGAAUUCUGACCCAAUUCUUAUCCAUUAAAUAAUUGGGUCAGGAUUUUGAACCGUGGAUUCAACCCAUUAAAGUUUCCCGGACCAAUUGUUUAGGUCUGGGUCCUCUUGGCCCCAAACCCAAACCCCCAUAUCACAUGAGUUGAUUUUGCUUGGGUCUGGAUUAGGUGUAGAAAAUGAAAUUGAGCUCUCAACAUAAUUAAGUAAUGUCCAUGCCAACCAAUUAGUGGUAGCUAUCAAUUUGGAUGGUAAAAAAUAAAAUAGCCAGCUGUCCCAAAUUCAAUUGGUUAUUUCAAGUAGUAGCGGUAGUUCCACUGGUUUGUCACUAGUAGAGAGGAUUGUGUAACCAUAUUUUUGGAAAAGGUGGUCACUAUUUUGUAGUGUAAGGCCGAAAAGAAAGAUAAAUUCAAGUUAAAAGACUAUGAGUCUAGGUCGGGUCUAUGUCUAGGGUGGGUUCAUUUUGAGAGGACCCAGAGCUAAACCCCUGGAUAAUUCAGGUCCCAGAGCUGGGUUAGGUUGGGUUUUGAGAGGACCCAGAGAUAAACCCCUCUAGGUUGGGUUGAUUUUGAAAGAACCCAGAGCUAAACCCCUCGUAAUUCAGGUCAUCCUUUUGGACCCAGAUCCCGCCCCAUAGGUCUAAAUUUUGGAUCCUGACCCACUAGUUUUUGGGUCGGGUCCAGUGACUCAUUGGGUUGACGCGACCCAUCUGCACCCCUAUUCAAAGCCCUGACCUUGAUUACGCACCCUAAUAUGUUGAGUUCACUCUUUUUAUUGUGUGAAGUGUGUAUUCGGGUUGGUUGUACUUUGUUGGCAGUUUGCAUCUGUUUCCGGAAGUCGACUUACCAAGCGAUCAUCUAGAGCAUUGUUGAUCUGGGACCUCUAUUCUCCGUGGACAUUCAUCAUGCAUCCCACUCCCACAUUUGAUUUCCUCUCUAAUAACUUCGAUUGGAUGGUUGUAGUCACUAAUUAAGAAAAUGGAUGGCCUAUAUUGAUCAUGACAGUUUUCUGGUCCCUGGACUGUCCAUCUUAUGGGGUUGAGCUUUGAUUGUUCAUAUCCUUCCCAGUUCAGUACGUUGAUUGCUUGAUCCUAACUAGGCAAUUAAUGAUUGGAAAAAUGGAUGGUUCAUAUUGAUUAUGCCAGAAAAAAAAGUUGAAAAAGUGGUUUGGGCUGUCCAUCAUCUGACCUCUGAUGGGUUGAUCCAUAUGAUUCCAGAAAUUGCCAAGAAAAUGGACUGUCAAUAAUUAUCAUAGUGGAGGUCUUACCAUUGAUUUGAACCCUCGAUUGCCCAUCCUGAAAAUCAAUCUGAGAAGGUGCCUUAACUGGAAUACUGCACGCAGUACAUGCCUUAAACUAGACCAUCUGAACUGCUGUAAUUGCACCAUCCUAUCCUAUCCUCGGAUUAAUGGACAUUUCUUUGUUGAAUAGAGGACUACUGAGUGUAAAUGUGAGCUUACGGUGUGAACGGUUCAAUUUGAGUUCUACACAAUUUCCUAGUUUACAA
This is a long non-coding RNA of Magnolia sinica, 3193 nucleotides long. RefSeq lists it as uncharacterized. Lineage: Eukaryota; Viridiplantae; Streptophyta; Magnoliopsida; Magnoliales; Magnoliaceae. The transcript is spliced from 2 exons. The record is from RefSeq and is a predicted model, not a curated record.